RNAcentral lists this non-coding RNA (88 nucleotides) under Alexandrium monilatum. Lineage: Eukaryota; Dinophyceae; Gonyaulacales; Pyrocystaceae. The record is from RNAcentral.
ACAGAGGCCACAGUGCAAGGGGUCGGGAAGAGCGCCCUGCGGAGGUGGUAACGUCCGAGUUUGGCCCCCUUGCCGAGGCCACUGCAAA